UAAUACCAGCACCCCGAGUGGUCGGGACGAUUAUUGGGCCUAAAGCAUCCGUAGCCGGUUCUGCAAGUCUUCCGUUAAAUCCACCUGCUCAACAGAUGGGCUGCGGAGGAUACUACAGGGCUAGGAGGCGGGAGAGGCAAGCGGUACUCAGUGGGUAGGGGUAAAAUCCUCUGAUCCACUGAAGACCACCAGUGGCGAAGGCGGCUUGCCAGAACGCGCUCGACGGUGAGGGAUGAAAGCUGGGGAGCAAACCGGAUUAGAUACCCGGGUAGUCCCAGCUGUAAACGAUGCAGACUCGGUGAUGGGUUGGCUUCGAGCCAACCCAGUGCCGCAGGGAAGCCGUUAAGUCUGCCGCCUGGGGAGUACGGUCGC
RNAcentral lists this ribosomal RNA (372 nucleotides) under uncultured crenarchaeote. RNAcentral describes it as "bacterial SSU rRNA". It matches the Rfam family "Archaeal small subunit ribosomal RNA", at positions 471 to 844 of the family's 1478-position model. The record is from RNAcentral. Lineage: Archaea; Thermoproteati; Thermoproteota.